GUGCAAACGUUGCUCGGAAUCAUUGGGCGUAAAGCGCACGUAGGCGGUUUGUUAAGUCGGAUGUGAAAACUCUGGGCUUAACCCAGAGCCUGCAUUCAAAACUGACAGGCUAGAGUUCUGGAGGGGGAAGCGGAAUUCCUGGUGUAGCGGUGAAAUGCGUAGAUAUCAGGAGGAACACCGGUGGCGAAGGCGGCUUCCUGGACAGAAACUGACGCUGAGGCGCGAAAGCUAGGGGAGCAAACAGG
RNAcentral lists this ribosomal RNA (245 nucleotides) under uncultured bacterium. RNAcentral's name for it is "partial 16S ribosomal RNA". It matches the Rfam family "Bacterial small subunit ribosomal RNA", at positions 532 to 776 of the family's 1533-position model. The record is from RNAcentral.